Molecule: non-coding RNA, 324 nt
Organism: Vicia faba (fava bean)
Lineage: Eukaryota; Viridiplantae; Streptophyta; Magnoliopsida; Fabales; Fabaceae
Source: the annotation of a GenBank genome assembly
AUGGAAAUGAUGAAGAAGAAGAAGGCAACAAUGAUGAAGUUAGCUUUGAUGCUUUUCUUAGUAGGCUUCAUCGCGACCGUCGAUGCUCGCAUCGAUGGAACAUCGUUCAUAACUCAAGUUCUUUCCAAGGAUGUUAAAUCAACAACAACAGCAUGCUGUGAUUCCUGCCCUUGCACAAAAUCAAUCCCUCCUCAGUGUCAGUGUAAUGACAUUGGAGAAACAUGUCACUCAGCUUGCGAAAGUUGCUUUUGCACAAAGACUUUUCCUCCACGGUGCCAUUGCCUUGAUAUUACUGACUUCUGCUAUGAACCAUGUAGCUACUAG